AACGAACGCUGGCGGCAUGCCUAACACAUGCAAGUCGAACGAGACCUUCGGGUCUAGUGGCGCACGGGUGCGUAACGCGUGGGAACCUGCCCUUAGGUUCGGAAUAACUCCCCGAAAGGGGUGCUAAUACCGGAUAAUGUCUUCGGACCAAAGAUUUAUCGCCUUUGGAUGGGCCCGCGUUGGAUUAGCUAGUUGGUAGGGUAAAAGCCUACCAAGGCGACGAUCCAUAGCUGGUCUGAGAGGAUGAUCAGCCACACUGGGACUGAGACACGGCCCAGACUGCUACGGAAGGCAGCAGUGGGGAAUAUUGGACGAUGGGCGAAAGCCUGAUCCAGCAAUGCCGCGUGAGUGAUGAAGGCCUGAGGGUUGGAAAGCUCUUUUACCCGGGAUGAUAAUGACAGUACCGGGAGAAUAAGCUCCGGCUAACUCCG
Molecule: ribosomal RNA, 431 nt
Filed under: uncultured bacterium
Lineage: Bacteria
Description: partial 16S ribosomal RNA
Rfam family: Bacterial small subunit ribosomal RNA
Source: RNAcentral